This 468-nucleotide ribosomal RNA is filed under the name uncultured bacterium. Its description in RNAcentral is "partial 16S ribosomal RNA". It matches the Rfam family "Bacterial small subunit ribosomal RNA", at positions 28 to 507 of the family's 1533-position model. The record is from RNAcentral.
GACGAACGCUGGCGGCGUGCUUAACACAUGCAAGUCGAACGGAAAGGCCCUGCUUUUGUGGGGUGCUCGAGUGGCGAACGGGUGAGUAACACGUGAGUAACCUGCCCUUGACUUUGGGAUAACUUCAGGAAACUGGGGCUAAUACCGGAUAGGAGCUCCUGCUGCAUGGUGGGGGUUGGAAAGUUUCGGCGGUUGGGGAUGGACUCGCGGCUUAUCAGCUUGUUGGUGGGGUAGUGGCUUACCAAGGCUUUGACGGGUAGCCGGCCUGAGAGGGUGACCGGCCACAUUGGGACUGAGAUACGGCCCAGACUACUACGGGAGGCAGCAGUGGGGAAUAUUGCACAAUGGGCGGAAGCCUGAUGCAGCAACGCAGCGUGCGGGGUGACGGCCUUCGGGUUGUAAACCGCUUUCGCCUGUGACGAAGCGUGAGUGACGGUAAUGGGUAAAGAAGCACCGGCUAACUACGUG